AACCUGGUUGGGUGGUCUGCCUUCACGGUACGUACUGCUUGGCCGGGUUCUACCUCUUGGUGAGCCGGCAUGCCCUUCACUGGGUGUGUCGGGGAACCAGGACUUUUACCUUGAGAAAAUUAGAGUGUUUAAAGCAGGCGUUUGCUUGAAUACAUUAGCAUGGAAUAAUGGAAUAGGGCU
This 180-nucleotide ribosomal RNA is filed under the name uncultured Glomeromycotina. RNAcentral describes it as "partial small subunit ribosomal RNA". Lineage: Eukaryota; Fungi; Glomeromycota. The record is from RNAcentral.